UUUCUCACUCUCUUCCCGCCUUUUUAUCUCCUACACUUACUUUGUGGCAUUCAAAACUCUCACCCAGACGACUCCCAUUCACGCCUUUCGAAGACAUGAAAUGAAAAUGGAGAUUAGAGCAAAGCACACCACAAGCUAGGGUUUUUUUUGGGAAACCACCUGCGAUUGACACUUGGGAUUUGUCUUUUUGAGAGGAACUAUUAACCUAGAUCUCAAAAGAGUAAAGUGGAGCAGAGCGGAAGCUCCAUUCCUUUUGAUUUCGAAGAAAAAUAGUGGCAUCAUCUCCACUAGAUCUCAAAAGAAUUCCAUUUUUGCUAUUGAGGCACUAUUAAUCUCUCCCUCAAAUCAUCCAUAUUGCUAAUUUGUGGAUUUUGGAAUCAAAUACAACAUGGAAAAUGGCGGGUCAGCUCCGGAAGCUAUAACGAACCAGAUUUAUGAGAACACAAAAACAAUAAAGGAAUGCUUCAUUGUAGAAGACCUUCCAGAUGUAUUCCUAUAAGCUUGACAUCAAGUCUACCCUUUGAGUAUCAUAACUGUGUUUUCUUUGAUCAUGUUAUUAUUAUUACCAUUUUCAAUACUUUGUUUAGGUGGAUAAUUCUACCAUAGGUGUGACAAGCUUUGGGGGGCCUGAAGGAGAAUUUGACAUUGAUGUUUUCGAUUCAACUAGUGAUUAUGUGAAACUGAUGAAGUAAGCAAUCUUUUCUUUUUCUUUUUUUUUUUUCAAUUUUUUCAAGGAAUGAACAAAGUUCUAAAUUUCUAUUAAUUUCAUGCUUCAUUGUUCUGAACUUGAUUAAACAUGGUAGUGAUAUAUGGUCAUAUAAUGAUCACUGCCAAAUCCUAUGUCAUUAUUUUAUACAUUGAUGUUGAUGCAGCUGAACCUUUUCCUCUCAUUGUAAAAGAUUACAUUGCAUCUUGUAUCCAUGGAUCAAUCCUCCAGGUUAAGGGAGUUGUAGCUGCUGGAACUUUUACAUAAUUUAUAUGCUCAAUCAUAUAUGAGUGUAAUGAUAUUUACACAUACUUACGAGUUUAAUCAUAUUUACACAUUUAUAAGCAUGCAGCAAAAUGAAAAGAAUUUGCAGUCUAGUAUGCCACUCUAAUGCAUGAGGCUGAAGUGAUUUCCCUUCUGACAAGCCGGCAUAGGAACUGAUAGACAGCAGGACUUAGCCUCCUUAUCCGUUGAAGGGAAUUUUGUCAAUUCAAUUAGAUGGAGUAAAGUGAUCUAAGAUUAUUCUUUUGUUGGAGAAAAUGGCUGAUAACAUGUGAAGGUUUACCCUGUAUGAAAUAUUCUAGGAUAUGCUGAGUUUUGUAUUUGCUUGAAGUGAGAUCCAGUUAAUUUCUGAUUGGACAAGAUAUGUUUCGACUUUUAUCUCAUGGCUAGAAGUAUUGUAUAAAUAUGAUUCUUAGGGUCCGUUUGGUUCUGACUUCUAACUUUUAAGCUAGCAAUAUAGUGUUGUUUUGUUCUCUUUAAAACAUGGGAUGCGAGACAACAAGAGUAGCUAUUAUUAAUCCAUUCCCUGUAUAGUGAUUGCUUGGGCUAUAACUGUAUGAAUGCAAUUCCUUUCUUGUCUUCAUGUUGUUCAUGCAUAAGAGAAGAGGUGAGAAACAUAUUCAUGCCCAUAAGAUGUGAAUGAUGCAACUUUUCUUUUCUUGUAUUUUUUAUCAACUAGAUGAUAAUUUAUUGAAAACGAUUAGCAAGAAGAGGCAAAAUUAUGGUAAUUUGCCUUUCCUCCCAUCACUGCAUAGCAGAGACGAUGGAUAGGCCUUAAAAUGCACCAAAACAAUAGAACCAAAUUUCUUUGCUUCUAUGAAUCUAAGUAAUGAGCAAAUCUAUUAUAGUAAUUAAAUAGUUAUAAGGCUCCCAAAGACAGUGGUUUUGGUAAUUAUGUUUGAAAGGCAUAGAUAAAUUACACAUUUACGCCUUCUUUUGAGCUUUGACCAAAUGGAGACCUAGGGUUCAGGUUCCCUUGAAAAUGGAUAGCAUAGAAGUACCACAUAAUGGAUCACUUAAAUGUUAAUCUCAUGAUACAAUCUGUUUAUCAGAUAUGUCAUUCACUUCAGCCAGUAUUCCACCAUUUUCAACAGGCGUCUCCUCCAUCCUUCUUUACUUCUUCAUUCUCUUGACAUAUGAUUAACYGACUCCCUUUUCUUUUUGCAGCAAUAAAAAUUAAAAGGGGGAUUAUCCCUGUGUAUCAUUUUUAUUCGACUUGAAUGCUUGUAGGUACAUUAUGGUUUUUUUCCAUGAAGCAUUAUGAUUCAUUUCCAUCAUUCCUGCUAGGAGAUGGAACUGUUGCAGUUUGAAACUAUUAUGGCCAUGAAAACAUGUUAUGGUUCUUUCCCAUGAAAACAGUUUGUUUCUUUUACAUGAAAACAUUUCGAAAGUCCCUGAACCAUAUGUGUACUCACAGCCAUGAAUUUGCUUUUGAAUACUCAAUUUCAUUAUCCUUUUACUUUGUUCACAUAAACCCUGCUACCUAUUUUGUUCCAUGUAGGGCCAUAUAAUUGAAACCUUUUCCCUGUUUCAUAAUUUCCUGCAUUUUUAUCUCAUUAUUUACAUGGCUGUAUGUUUAAUUACUAAGCUGGUGCAUGUGCAAAAGGAGUAAAAAAGCAUAUGUUUAAUUAAAGAUGGUGUGCAAAAGGAGCAGCAAACUUAAUAGGCUCUGUGACAGAAAUAUCCACUAUCACUUCGUUGCUGAGAAAGUAGUCUGUAGUUUAAGUGCUGUGUGCAGCAGGUAAGUGCAUAUCCACUAAUUUGUGAUUCUUGCAUGGUAACGAUGGUGUUGCAUGUUUUGAUGUUUCAGUUGGGUGGGCCAUCAUGGACAGUACAGCUGGGCAGAAGAGAUGCGACCACGGCAAGUCUAAGUGCUGCCAAUAGCGACAUCCCUGCUCCAACCUUGGAUCUUGGUGGCCUUAUAUCUGCUUUCUCAAAAAAGGGUCUUACUGCCAAGGAAAUGGUCGCUCUUUCAGGAGCUCACACCAUCGGGCAAGCUAGGUGCACAAGUUUCAGGCUCGCAUCUACAGCAAGACUAAUAUAAAUUCUUCCUUGGCGACAUCAUUGAAGUCCAACUGUCCGAGUACUGGUGGAGACAACAAUCUCUCUCCCUUUGACGCUAAAAGCCCUACAGCUUUUGAUAAUGCUUAUUUCAAGAGUUUGGUGAACAACAAUGGACUUUUACACUCGGAUCAGUGGAAUUCCAUUAUUUUUGUUGUAUCGAUUCUUUAGUGGACAUGCAUGGCAUUGUAUAUUUCUGCUGUUCUUGAACUUAUGGCUACCUCGCUAGGUAACAUUGUUCUCUAAUGUUUUGUUUCAAUUCAAUGAAGACAAACGCAAGGCAGGAAAGGACGACAUGAUGCAGCAACCACCCGCCAAGAAAGUGGCAACAGAUGGACCAAUGGGCAUUGUACCUCCUAACUCCUUGCCGGCAAACAUGCAAGGGACCGUUGAUGGAUUUCCAAAUGCUUCAGGGCCAUCCAAUUUGGGCCCAUCAUCAUCUGGACAAGUCACAAACGAUAGCAUUUCAAGGAGCAGCGGUAAGAGGGAGGAUGAUGGUCGAGCAACCAAGAUGUCAACUAUCCUCAGUCAGGCUUGGAAGGAGGAUGUGGAUGUUGGACAUCUGCUGGCUUCUCUUUUUGAGCUAUUUGGCGGGAACAUGUUCUCCUUCACUCCUAGACCUGAGAUGUCUUUCUUCUUGUGAUCAAAUAAAUAUGGGUUGGAUUUUUGUAAAUGAUCAGUUAAA
Non-coding RNA from Nelumbo nucifera (sacred lotus), 3734 nucleotides. Lineage: Eukaryota; Viridiplantae; Streptophyta; Magnoliopsida; Proteales; Nelumbonaceae. The record is from RefSeq and is a predicted model, not a curated record.